Molecule: long non-coding RNA, 692 nt
Organism: Talpa occidentalis (Iberian mole)
Lineage: Eukaryota; Metazoa; Chordata; Mammalia; Eulipotyphla; Talpidae
Exons: 3
Source: RefSeq, a predicted model, not a curated record
AUCUCCAUUUGUCGUGCCCCAGUAAAGCUGUGGAGCCAAGAUUUAAAACAAGUUCUGUCUACGUUCACAGAGAGACCUUGUUCCCGGCUUCACAAAGAAAGAAUGGCAAAGAAGAAAAAGAAGGAAGAUAGACAUUGCCUGAAUAAGCUCUUGCCCAAGAGAAAUGCUCAGAUGUUUGAAAUUUCAAGGGAAAGGCAUCACCGAUGAAAAAUCCUCCCACACAAUAAGCUGGUAGGAGAGAUUGAUGAAGGUGGGCUUCCGUGAUUCAUCGCCCUUAGCGAUUUAGAGCCCAGCUUGGUAUUCACCGAGAGACACAUCUCUAGUUUAGGAUGCGCUGAGUCAGCUGAUACUUGCUCACACUGCUACUGAGAACGAUGCAUGAAAAAUAAACUGUCUGCAUGUGCCAUUAGUAAUGUGGAGAACAAGCCUGGUAGAAUAAAGAAGAGGCAAAAUCAUCUCCUUAAGUCAUUUUGUUGCUAGUUGAAAUACAAACACUUAGUGUUGAAUGAGGCAGAGCUGUUGACUUAGGGAGGAUGAAGGGUAGACACAUAAACGUCAGUCUCCAAGAAUUUGAAGACUAGGGGGUACCGCCAGAGAUUGUGAGGUCCAGAUCACCCUUCCAGCAGGAAAGCUGAACAUCAUCUCACCUCCCCUACAGGGAGCCUUGGCCAUGGUCAGUACAAUAAGAACCA